GACGAACGCUGGCGGCGUGCUUAACACAUGCAAGUCGAACGGAAAGGCCCUGCUUUUGUGGGGUGCGCGAGUGGCGAACGGGUGUGUAACACGUGAGUAACCUGCCCUUGACUUUGGGAUAACUUCAGGAAACUGGGGCUAAUACCGGAUAGGAGCUCCUGCUGCAUGGUGGGGGGUGGAAAGUUUCGGCGGUUGGGGAUGGACUCGCGGCUUAUCAGCUUGUUGGUGGGGUAGUGGCUUACCAAGGCUUUGACGGGUAGCCGGCCUGAGAGGGUGACCGGCCAAAUUGGGACUGAGAUACGGCCCAGACUCCUACGGGAGGCAGCAGUGGGGUAUAUUGCACAAUGGGCGGAAGCCUGAUGCAGCAACGCCGCGUGCGGGAUGACGGCCUUCGGGUUGUAAACCGCUUUCGCCUGUGACGAAGCGUGAGUGACGGUAAUGGGUAAAGAAGCACCGGCUAACUACGUG
This 468-nucleotide ribosomal RNA is filed under the name uncultured bacterium. RNAcentral's name for it is "partial 16S ribosomal RNA". It matches the Rfam family "Bacterial small subunit ribosomal RNA", at positions 28 to 507 of the family's 1533-position model. The record is from RNAcentral.